AGAGACUUGACGGUACUGUAAGAAUAAGGAUCGGCUAACUCCGUGCCAGCAGCCGCGGUAAUACGGAGGAUCCAAGCGUUAUCCGGAAUCAUUGGGUUUAAAGGGUCCGUAGGCGGUUUAGUAAGUCAGUGGUGAAAGCCCAUCGCUCAACGGUGGAACGGCCAUUGAUACUGCUAGACUUGAAUUAUUAGGAAGUAACUAGAAUAUGUAGUGUAGCGGUGAAAUGCUUAGAGAUUACAUGGAAUACCAAUUGCGAAGGCAGGUUACUACUAAUUGAUUGACGCUGAUGGACGAAAGCGUGGGUAGCGAACAGGAUUAGAUACCCUGGUAGUCCACGCCGUAAACGAUGGAUACUAGCUGUUGGGAGCAAUUUCAGUGGCUAAGCGAAAGUGAUAAGUAUCCCACCUGGGGAGUACGAACGCAAGUUUGAAACUCAAAUGAAUUGACGGGGAAACUCAAGGG
Molecule: ribosomal RNA, 462 nt
Filed under: uncultured bacterium
Lineage: Bacteria
Description: bacterial SSU rRNA
Rfam family: Bacterial small subunit ribosomal RNA
Source: RNAcentral